Molecule: ribosomal RNA, 244 nt
Filed under: uncultured Staphylococcus sp.
Lineage: Bacteria; Bacillati; Bacillota; Bacilli; Caryophanales; Staphylococcaceae
Description: partial 16S ribosomal RNA
Rfam family: Bacterial small subunit ribosomal RNA
Source: RNAcentral
CGGCGGACGGGUGAGUAACACGUGGAUAACCUACCUAUAAGACUGGGAUAACUUCGGGAAACCGGAGCUAAUACCGGAUAAUAUAUUGAACCGCAUGGUUCAAUAGUGAAAGACGGUUUUGCUGUCACUUAUAGAUGGAUCCGCGCCGCAUUAGCUAGUUGGUAAGGUAACGGCUUACCAAGGCAACGAUGCGUAGCCGACCUGAGAUGGUGAUCGGCCACACUGGAACUGAGACACGGUCCAG